RNAcentral lists this ribosomal RNA (440 nucleotides) under uncultured bacterium. Its description in RNAcentral is "partial 16S ribosomal RNA". It matches the Rfam family "Bacterial small subunit ribosomal RNA", at positions 338 to 795 of the family's 1533-position model. The record is from RNAcentral.
CCUACGGGUGGCAGCAGUGGGGAAUAUUGCACAAUGGGGGAAACCCUGAUGCAGCGACGCCGCGUGAGUGAGGAAGUAUUACGGUAUGUAAAGCUCUAUCAGCAGGGAAGAAAAUGACGGUACCUGACUAAGAAGCCGCGGGUAACUACGUGCCAGCAGCCGCGGGAAUACGUAGGGGGGAAGCGUUAUCCGGAUUUACUGGGUGUAAAGGGAGAGUAGACGGAUAAGCAAGUCAGAAGUUAAAACCAAGGGCUCAACCUUGGGACUGCUGUUGAAACUGAGAGGCUAGAGUGCGGGAGAGGGAGGCGGAAUUCCUGGUGUAGCGGUGAAAUGCGUAGAUAUUGGGAGGAACACCGGUGGCGAAGGCGGCUUACUGGACUGAAACUGACGUUGAGGCUCGAAAGCGUGGGGAGCGAACAGGAUUAGAUACCCUAGUAGUC